CGGUUGAUCCUGCCGGACCCGACCGCUAUCGGGGUGGGACUAAGCCAAGCGAGUCGAGCGCCCCGGGCUACGGCGGGGCGCGGCGGACGGCUCAGUAACACGUGGCUAACCUACCCUCGGGAGGGGGAUAACCUCGGGAAACUGAGGCUAAUCCCCCAUAGGUGGAGAGGCCUGGAAUGGUUCUCCACCGAAAAGGUCCCGGCGCCAUGCCCGCCGGUACCGCCCGAGGAUGGGGCCACGGCCGAUUAGGUAGUUGGUGGGGUAACGGCCCACCAAGCCGAUAAUCGGUACGGGCCGUGAGAGCGGGAGCCCGGAGAUGGGGACUGAGACAAGGCCCCAGGCCCUACGGGGCGCAGCAGGCGCGAAACCUCCGCAAUGCGGGAAACCGCGACGGGGUCACCCCGAGUGCCGCCCUAACGGGUGGCUGUGGCC
Molecule: ribosomal RNA, 432 nt
Filed under: uncultured archaeon
Lineage: Archaea
Description: bacterial SSU rRNA
Rfam family: Archaeal small subunit ribosomal RNA
Source: RNAcentral